GGGGAUUUAGCUCAGUGGUAGAGCCCUUGCCUAGUAAGCGCAAGGCCCUGGGUUCGAUCCCCAGCUCCG
RNAcentral lists this transfer RNA (69 nucleotides) under Rattus norvegicus (Norway rat). It matches the Rfam family "tRNA". From Rfam's summary of the family: Transfer RNA (tRNA) molecules are approximately 80 nucleotides in length. Their secondary structure includes four short double-helical elements and three loops (D, anti-codon, and T loops). Further hydrogen bonds mediate the characteristic L-shaped molecular structure. tRNAs have two regions of fundamental functional importance: the anti-codon, which is responsible for specific mRNA codon recognition, and the 3' end, to which the tRNAs corresponding amino acid is attached (by aminoacyl-tRNA synthetases). tRNAs cope with the degeneracy of the genetic code in two manners: having more than one tRNA (with a specific anti-codon) for a particular amino acid; and 'wobble' base-pairing, i.e. permitting non-standard base-pairing at the 3rd anti-codon position. The record is from Rfam by way of RNAcentral. Lineage: Eukaryota; Metazoa; Chordata; Mammalia; Rodentia; Muridae.